AAACUGGGAGAUAGCUCGUACUCCCCGAAAUGCAUUUAGGUGCAGCGUCGGCGUAGAGUAGUGAUGGAGGUAGAGCUACCGAUAGGGCUAGGGGCGUCACUGCCUACCAACCCCUGACGAACUCCGAAUGCCAUUACACUGCACCGGCAGUGAGGCUAUGGGUGCUAAGGUCCAUAGCCGAGAGGGAAAGAACCCAGACCAACAGCUAAGGUCCCCAAAUACUAUCUAAGUUGAACAAACGAUGUGAGAAUGCACAGACAGCUAGGAUGUUGGCUUGGAAGCAGCCAUUCAUUUAAAGAGUGCGUAACAGCUCACUAGUCGAGCGUUCUUGCGCGGAAAAAUGAUCGGGCAUCAAGAUAGUUACCGAAGCUAUGGUCACGUGUUAAAGCGUGAGGUAGGGG
This 401-nucleotide ribosomal RNA is filed under the name uncultured bacterium. RNAcentral's name for it is "bacterial LSU rRNA". It matches the Rfam family "Bacterial large subunit ribosomal RNA", at positions 835 to 1234 of the family's 2925-position model. The record is from RNAcentral.